RNAcentral lists this ribosomal RNA (540 nucleotides) under uncultured bacterium. Its description in RNAcentral is "partial 16S ribosomal RNA". It matches the Rfam family "Bacterial small subunit ribosomal RNA", at positions 28 to 523 of the family's 1533-position model. The record is from RNAcentral.
GAUGAACGCUGGCGGUGUGCCUAAUACAUGCAAGUCGUACGCAUUCUCGUUUCUGAUUGACGGUGCUUGCACCUAAUUGACGAGACAUUGGAAUGAGUGGCGGACGGGUGAGUAACACGUGGGUAACCUGCCCAGAAGCGGGGGAUAACAUUUGGAAACAGAUGCUAAUACCGCAUAAAAGUCAAAGCCACAUGGUUUUGAUUUGAAAGAUGGCCUUUGUGCUAUCACUUCUGGAUGGACCCGCGGCGUAUUAGGUAGUUGGUAAGGUAACGGCUUACCAAGGCAAUGAUACGUAGCCGAACUGAGAGGUUGAUCGGCCACAAUGGGACUGAGACACGGCCCAUACUCCUACGGGAGGCAGCAGUAGGGAAUCUUCCACAAUGGGCGCAAGCCUGAUGGAGCAACACCGCGUGAGUGAAGAAGGGUUUCGGCUCGUAAAACUCUGUUGUUAAAGGAGAACGUAUCUAAGAGUAACUGCUUAGGUAGUGACGGUAUUUAACCAGAAAGCCACGGCUAACUACGUGCCAGCCGCCGCAGUAA